This 253-nucleotide ribosomal RNA is filed under the name uncultured bacterium. RNAcentral describes it as "partial 16S ribosomal RNA". It matches the Rfam family "Bacterial small subunit ribosomal RNA", at positions 524 to 776 of the family's 1533-position model. The record is from RNAcentral.
UACGUAGGGUGCGAGCGUUAAUCGGAAUUACUGGGCGUAAAGCGUGCGCAGGCGGCUUGCCAAGUCAGAUGUGAAAGCCCCGGGCUCAACCCGGGAACUGCGUUUGAAACUGGCAGGCUAGAGUUUGGCAGAGGGGGGUGGAAUUCCGCGUGUAGCAGUGAAAUGCGUAGAGAUGCGGAGGAACACCGAUGGCGAAGGCAGCCCCCUGGGCUGACACUGACGCUCAGGCACGAAAGCGUGGGGAGCAAACAGG